RNAcentral lists this ribosomal RNA (492 nucleotides) under uncultured bacterium. RNAcentral describes it as "partial 16S ribosomal RNA". It matches the Rfam family "Bacterial small subunit ribosomal RNA", at positions 29 to 507 of the family's 1533-position model. The record is from RNAcentral.
AGUGAACGCUGGCGGUAGGCCUAACACAUGCAAGUCGAACGGCAGCACAGUAAGAGCUUGCUCUUACGGGUGGCGAGUGGCGGACGGGUGAGGAAUACAUCGGAAUCUACUUUUUCGUGGGGGAUAACGUAGGGAAACUUACGCUAAUACCGCAUACGACCUACGGGUGAAAGCAGGGGAUCUUCGGACCUUGCGCGAUUGAAUGAGCCGAUGUCGGAUUAGCUAGUUGGCGGGGUAAAGGCCCACCAAGGCGACGAUCCGUAGCUGGUCUGAGAGGAUGAUCAGCCACACUGGAACUGAGACACGGUCCAGACUCCUACGGGAGGCAGCAGUGGGGAAUAUUGGACAAUGGGCGCAAGCCUGAUCCAGCCACACCGCGUGGGUGAAGAAGGCCUUCGGGUUGUAGAGCCCUUUUGUUGGGAAAGAAAAGCAGCAGGUUAAUACCCCGCUGUUCUGACGGUACCCAAAGAAUAAGCACCGGCUAACUUCGUG